This 371-nucleotide ribosomal RNA is filed under the name uncultured bacterium. RNAcentral's name for it is "bacterial SSU rRNA". It matches the Rfam family "Bacterial small subunit ribosomal RNA", at positions 525 to 896 of the family's 1533-position model. The record is from RNAcentral.
ACGAACCAUGCAAACGUUAUUCGGAUUCACUGGGCUUAAAGCGUGCGUAGGCGGCGAUGUUAGUCAGGUGUGAAAGCCCUCAGCCCAACUGAGGAAUUGCGCUUGAUACUGCAUUGCUAGAGAAUGAUAGAGGUGGGUGGAACUGAUGGUGGAGCGGUGAAAUGCGUUGAUAUCAUCAGGAACACCAGUGGCGAAGGCGACCCACUGGGUCAUUUCUGACGCUGAGGUACGAAAGCUAGGGUAGCGAACGGGAUUAGAUACCCCGGUAGUCCUAGCCGUAAACGAUGAGCACUAGGUCGAGGGCCUCCACAGGCUCUUGGCCGUAGCGAAAGUGUUAAGUGCUCCGCCUGGGGAGUAUGGUCGCAAGGCUG